Molecule: small RNA, 544 nt
Filed under: Pan troglodytes (chimpanzee)
Lineage: Eukaryota; Metazoa; Chordata; Mammalia; Primates; Hominidae
Description: retained intron
Source: RNAcentral
CUCUUCUCUCCCGCUUCCCUCGCUGUGAAGAUGGCGCUCUCCAGGGUGUGCUGGGCUCGGUCGGCUGUGUGGGGCUCGGCAGUCACCCCUGGACAUUUCGUCACCCGGAGGCUGCAACUUGGUCGCUCUGGCCUGGCUUGGGGGGCCCCUCGGUCUUCAAAGCUUCACCUUUCUCCAAAGGCAGAUGUGAAGAACUUGAUGUCUUAUGUGGUAACCAAGACAAAAGCGAUUAAUGGGAAAUACCAUCGUUUCUUGGGUCGUCAUUUCCCCCGCUUCUAUGUUCUGUACACAAUCUUCAUGAAAGGUAAAAACGAAACUAUAAUAGAAAUUCCGGAAUCAGCUCUUGGGCAGGGUCAAAGAGUUAGCAUAAAUAAGAUCAUUUGCAGGUUCUGCUAUGGGGAUGUGAGCCGAGAUAUAUUUCAUAAAUGCCUGCGCCUUAAACUAAUUCUUAUAAAUUAGCACUUCUUGAGAAUGUUUCUAGAAAGAUGUUAUGAGAAACAACUUAUGACAGCAACAUGAGGGAGGGAGAAUAUAGGUAUGUUCU